Molecule: ribosomal RNA, 115 nt
Filed under: Cebus imitator (Panamanian white-faced capuchin)
Lineage: Eukaryota; Metazoa; Chordata; Mammalia; Primates; Cebidae
Source: RNAcentral
AGAUACAGCCAUGCCAUCCUGAAGGUGCCGGAUCUCAGCUGAUCUCAGAAGCUAAGCAGGGUCGGGCCUGGUUAGUACUUGAAUGGGAGACACAUGUUCAUCACAGUACUAUUCA